UACGUAGGGUGCAAGCGUUAAUCGGAAUUACUGGGCGUAAAGCGUGCGCAGGCGGUUUUGUAAGUCUGUCGUGAAAUCCCCGGGCUCAACCUGGGAAUUGCGAUGGAGACUGCAAGGCUAGAAUCUGGCAGAGGGGGGGUAGAAUUCCACGUGUAGCAGUGAAAUGCGUAGAGAUGUGGAGGAACACCGAUGGCGAAGGCAGCCCCCUGGGUCAAGAUUGACGCUCAUGCACGAAAGCGUGGGGAGCAAACAGG
RNAcentral lists this ribosomal RNA (254 nucleotides) under uncultured bacterium. RNAcentral's name for it is "partial 16S ribosomal RNA". It matches the Rfam family "Bacterial small subunit ribosomal RNA", at positions 524 to 776 of the family's 1533-position model. The record is from RNAcentral.